AUUGAACGCUGGCGGCAUGCCUUACACAUGCAAGUCGAACGGUAACGGGCCUUCGGGUGCCGACGAGUGGCGCACGGGUGAGUAAUACAUCGGAACGUGCCCGAUCGUGGGGGAUAACGAGGCGAAAGCUUUGCUAAUACCGCCUACGAUCUACGGAUGAAAGCAGGGGACCGCAAGGCCUUGCGCGGACGGAGCGGCCGAUGGCAGAUUAGGUAGUUGGUGGGAUAAAAGCUUACCAAGCCGACGAUCUGUAGCUGGUCUGAGAGGAUGAUCAGCCACACUGGAACUGAGACACGGCCCAGACUCCUACGGGAGGCAGCAGUGGGGAAUUUUGGACAAUGGGCGCAAGCCUGAUCCAGCCAUGCCGCGUGCAGGAUGAAGGCCUUCGGGUUGUAAACUGCUUUUGUACGGAACGAAAAGCCUUCUUUUAAUACAGGAGGGUCAUGACGGUACCGUAAGAAUAAGCACCGGCUAACUACGUG
RNAcentral lists this ribosomal RNA (482 nucleotides) under uncultured bacterium. Its description in RNAcentral is "partial 16S ribosomal RNA". It matches the Rfam family "Bacterial small subunit ribosomal RNA", at positions 30 to 507 of the family's 1533-position model. The record is from RNAcentral.